CCUACGGGGAGCAGCAGUGGGGAAUAUUGGACAAUGGGCGAAAGCCUGAUCCAGCCAUGCCGCGUGUGUGAAGAAGGCCUUCGGGUUGUAAAGCACUUUCAGUGGGGAAGAAAGCCUUGGGGCUAAUACCCUCGAGGAAGGACAUCACCCACAGAAGAAGCACCGGCUAACUCCGUGCCAGCAGCCGCGGUAAUACGGAGGGUGCGGGCGUUAAUCGGAAUUACUGGGCGUAAAGCGCGCGUAGGCGGUCUGAUAAGCCGGUUGUGAAAGCCCCGGGCUCAACCUGGGAACGGCAUCCGGAACUGUCAGGCUAGAGUGCAGGAGAGGAAGGUAGAAUUCCCGGUGUAGCGGUGAAAUGCGUAGAGAUCGGGAGGAAUACCAGUGGCGAAGGCGGCCUUCUGGACUGACACUGACGCUGAGGUGCGAAAGCGUGGGUAGCAAACAGGAUUAGAUACCCCAGUAGUC
This 465-nucleotide ribosomal RNA is filed under the name Vreelandella stevensii. Its description in RNAcentral is "partial 16S ribosomal RNA". It matches the Rfam family "Bacterial small subunit ribosomal RNA", at positions 338 to 795 of the family's 1533-position model. The record is from RNAcentral. Lineage: Bacteria; Pseudomonadati; Pseudomonadota; Gammaproteobacteria; Oceanospirillales; Halomonadaceae.